CGGGGUGAGUAACGCGUGGGUAACCUGCCUCAUACAGGGGGAUAACAGUUAGAAAUGACUGCUAAUACCGCAUAAGCGCACGGGACUGCAUGGUCUUGUGUGAAAAACUCCGGUGGUAUGAGAUGGACCCGCGUCUGAUUAGCUUGUUGGUGAGGUAACGGCCCACCAAGGCGACGAUCAGUAGCCGGCCUGAGAGGGUGAACGGCCACAUUGGGACUGAGACACGGCCCAAACUCCUACGGAAGGCAGCAG
RNAcentral lists this ribosomal RNA (252 nucleotides) under uncultured bacterium. Its description in RNAcentral is "partial 16S ribosomal RNA". It matches the Rfam family "Bacterial small subunit ribosomal RNA", at positions 100 to 354 of the family's 1533-position model. The record is from RNAcentral.